Octopus bimaculoides (California two-spot octopus) is the source of this 107-nucleotide non-coding RNA. The record is from Rfam. Lineage: Eukaryota; Metazoa; Mollusca; Cephalopoda; Octopoda; Octopodidae.
GUAUUUAAAUUGGCAGUGCCUAUGCUAAAAUUCAAAUGCUGUACAAAAAAUUAUCAUGACCUCUGCGUAAGAAUGUUACACAUAUUCGUGAAGCUUUCCAUACUUUU